UACGGGAGGCAGCAGGGGGAAUAUUGCACAAUGGGCGCAAGCCUGAUGCAGCCAUGCCGCGUGUAUGAAGAAGGCCUUCGGGUUGUAAAGUACUUUCAGUCGUGAGGAAGGUGUUAAGGUUAAUAACCUUAGCAAUUGACGUUAGCGACAGAAGAAGCACCGGCUAACUCCGUGCCAGCAGCCGCGGUAAUACGGAGGGUGCGAGCGUUAAUCGGAAUUACUGGGCGUAAAGGGCACGCAGGCGGUUAAUUAAGUUGGAUGUGAAAUCCCCGGGCUUAACCUGGGAAUGGCAUUCAAGACUGGUUAGCUAGAGUCUUGUAGAGGGGGUAGAAUUCCAUGUGUAGCGGUGAAAUGCGUAGAGAUGUGGAGGAAUACCGGUGGCGAAGGCGGCCCCUGGACAAAGACUGACGCUCAUGUGCGAAAGCGUGGGGAGCAAACGAGGGAUUAGAUAC
RNAcentral lists this ribosomal RNA (452 nucleotides) under uncultured bacterium. Its description in RNAcentral is "bacterial SSU rRNA". It matches the Rfam family "Bacterial small subunit ribosomal RNA", at positions 340 to 785 of the family's 1533-position model. The record is from RNAcentral.